This 304-nucleotide long non-coding RNA is filed under the name Elaeis guineensis (African oil palm). RNAcentral describes it as "long non-coding RNA (EGUI_LNC050187)". The record is from RNAcentral. Lineage: Eukaryota; Viridiplantae; Streptophyta; Magnoliopsida; Arecales; Arecaceae.
CAGUAUUUAGGGCUUUGGGGGUCUUGAGGUUCAGGUGAUUUAGAUCUUGAGGGGCUAACCCAUCAUUGGGCUAGGAUUGAGUUCGAGGUGAGUGAGUGCGCAUAAGUCAAGGGUGUAAUUAUUGGAUUUUAGGUAUUUUGUAUGUAGAUUUCAAAAUAAUUUUAAAUACAAGCAGCGGAAGACAAGAUUAAAUCAGAUUUAAUCCUAUGCAUGCAUAGAUUUGAAUAAAAUACCUAUGAAUUUAGUUCAUAUGAUGAUAAAUAAGAUAUAAAGCAUCUAAUUUUAGAGAUUAAAAUUUAUUUAU